Molecule: ribosomal RNA, 468 nt
Filed under: uncultured bacterium
Lineage: Bacteria
Description: partial 16S ribosomal RNA
Rfam family: Bacterial small subunit ribosomal RNA
Source: RNAcentral
GACGAACGCUGGCGGCGUGCUUAACACAUGCAAGUCGAACGGAAAGGCCCUGCUUUUGUGGGGUGCGCGAGUGGCGAACGGGUGAGUAACACGUGAGUAACCUGCCCUUGACUUUGGGAUAACUUCAGGCAACUGGGGGUAAUACCGGAUAGGAGCUCCUGCUGCAUGGUGGGGGUUGGAAAGUUUCGGCGGUUGGGGAUGGACUCGCGGCUUAUCAGCUUGUUGGUGGGGUAGUGGAUUACCAAGGCUUUGACGGGUGGCCGGGCUGAGCGGGUGACCGGCCACAUCGGGACUGAGAUACGGCCCAGACUCCUCCGGGACGCAGCAGUGCGGAAUAUUGCACAAUGGGCGGAAGCCUGAUGCAGCAACGCCGCGUGCGGGAUGACGGCAUUCGGGUUGUAAACCGCUUUCGCCUGUGACGAAGCGUGAGUGACGGUAAUGGGUAAAGAAGCACCGGCUAACUACGUG